Long non-coding RNA from Coregonus clupeaformis (lake whitefish), 299 nucleotides. RefSeq lists it as uncharacterized. NCBI's taxonomy places the organism in Eukaryota, Metazoa, Chordata, Actinopteri, Salmoniformes, Salmonidae. The transcript has 3 exons. The record is from RefSeq and is a predicted model, not a curated record.
CGACACAUAUCCAAACAUCAAAAAACACGCAAUGAAAAUGUCCACAGUUUUUGGCAGCACGUAUAUCUGCGAGAAAACCUUUUCUCGCAUGAAACUGCUGAAAACUCAGAUGAGAUCAAGAUUGACAGAUGAACAUUUGCAUCAGUGCUUGAGACUGGCUGUAACUAGAAUGGAACCUGAUAUUCAACUUCUCACCAGCCAGAUGCAGGCCCACAGUUCACACUGAUGAACAUACAUAGGGAAGUUGAUGAGAGAGAGCUGCAAACAGCGGUGUCUACAAGCCUACUGGAACCUACAAA